RNAcentral lists this unclassified non-coding RNA (271 nucleotides) under Psilocybe sp. Its description in RNAcentral is "partial internal transcribed spacer region". The stretch from base 1 to 46 matches the Rfam family "Eukaryotic small subunit ribosomal RNA", at positions 1786 to 1831 of the family's 1831-position model. The record is from RNAcentral. Lineage: Eukaryota; Fungi; Basidiomycota; Agaricomycetes; Agaricales; Agrocybaceae.
AAGUCGUAACAAGGUUUCCGUAGGUGAACCUGCGGAAGGAUCAUUAUUGAAUAAACCUGAUGUGGUUGUUGCUGGCUCUCUCGGGAGUAUGUGCACGCCCGUCAUCUUUAUAUUUCCACCUGUGCACCUUUUGUAGACCCGCGCGAGUUGAGCAAUCAAGUCAAGUAGGCCUACGUUUUAUCAUAUACCCCAUAGUAUGUAUCAGAAUGUAUCAGUGGGCUUUGUGCCUAUAAACACUAUACAACUUUCAGCAACGGAUCUCUUGGCUCUC